Molecule: long non-coding RNA, 437 nt
Organism: Drosophila gunungcola (fruit fly)
Lineage: Eukaryota; Metazoa; Arthropoda; Insecta; Diptera; Drosophilidae
Exons: 3
Source: RefSeq, a predicted model, not a curated record
UGACAGGUUUAAAAAGAGCACCACGGUUAAGAUCUUCGAUCCAUCAGCUGCAGUAAUGCAUUGCGUCCCAUAAUGUAGAGCGAACUACUAAUAAAAUGUGGAGGUUUUCACUCCAUAACACUUACUUCAUUCCUUCAGAGGCCUGGAAAGAAGCACGCCAAAUCCAAAUAAACAGUUCACAUUCACAGGCCUUUGCAAUUUUCACGCCAUAUUUAGCCGGCCGGAGUCAUCCCAUCUCCUCUACAAAAACAUCUUACUCUAGCGUUUCGUACAUUUGUGAAGAAUUAAACAUGCCCUUUAAGUCAAACUCGACCGCCGUUAUUGGCGGAAAGGACGUGCUAGAAAAAUGAUUGCAGCGACCAGUCAUGCAGGACGUAAGGCAUGGAAAAAUACUGAAUACUCGCGGCGAAGUGAGUGCGGGGACACCACAGAUAUGA